This 794-nucleotide ribosomal RNA is filed under the name uncultured bacterium. Its description in RNAcentral is "bacterial SSU rRNA". It matches the Rfam family "Bacterial small subunit ribosomal RNA", at positions 11 to 725 of the family's 1533-position model. The record is from RNAcentral.
GUUUGAUCCUGGCUCAGAACGAACGCUGGCGGCGUGCCUAACACAUGCAAGUCGAACGGAGAGUUUGGUUUGCGGUUGUAAAGCUUGAGGUUUUUAGUUCGCUAAGAACCAAAGGCUUUUGACCAAUAACCUAUUGCUCUUAGUGGCGAACGGGUGAGUAACACGUAGGCAACCUACCUCUAAGUGGGGGACAACAUCUCGAAAGGGAUGCUAAUUCCGCAUGUGGUGAUAAUUCGCAUGAAUUGUUUACUAAAGGUGGCCUCUAUUUAUACGCUAUCGCUUAGAGAUGGACCUGCGGCUGAUUAGCUUGUUGGUAAGGUAACGGCUUACCAAGGCAAAGAUCAGUAGCCGACCUGAGAGGGUGAACGGCCACACUGGGACUGAGACACGGCCCAGACUCCUACGGGAGGCAGCAGUGAGGAAUAUUGCGCAAUGGGGGAAACCCUGACGCAGCGACGCCGCGUGGAUGAUGAAGGCCUUCGGGUCGUAAAAUCCUUUCAGAAGGGACGAAAUCAAAAGGGAAAAUAUUCCUUUUGGAUGACGGUACCUUCAGAAGAAGCCCCGGCUAACUACGUGCCAGCAGCCGCGGUAAUACGUAUGGGGCGAGCGUUGUUCGGAAUUAUUGGGCGUAAAGGGUAUGUAGGCGGUUUGAUAAGUCAGGCGUGAAAGUCCAUGGCUUAACCUUGGAAAGCCGUUUGAAACUGUCAAACUUGAGUCCAGGAGAGGAGAGCGGAAUUCCCGGUGUAGCGGUGAAAUGUGUAGAUAUCGGGAAGAACAUCAGUGGCGAAAGCGGC